Molecule: ribosomal RNA, 352 nt
Filed under: uncultured Rhodospirillales bacterium
Lineage: Bacteria; Pseudomonadati; Pseudomonadota; Alphaproteobacteria; Rhodospirillales
Description: bacterial SSU rRNA
Rfam family: Bacterial small subunit ribosomal RNA
Source: RNAcentral
ACACAGGUGCUGCAUGGCUGUCGUCAGCUCGUGUCGUGAGAUGUUGGGUUAAGUCCCGCAACGAGCGCAACCCUCGUCUCCAGUUGCCAUCGGGUAAAGCCGGGCACUUUGGAGAAACUGCCGGUGACAAGCCGGAGGAAGGUGGGGAUGGACGUCAAGUCCUCAUGGCCCUUACGGGCUGGGCUACACACGUGCUACAAUGGCGGUGACAGAGGGCAGCGAAGGGGCGACCUGGAGCUAAUCCUCAAAAGCCGUCUCAGUUCGGAUUGCACUCUGCAACUCGAGUGCAUGAAGGUGGAAUCGCUAGUAAUCGCGGAUCACGCAUGCCGCGGUGAAUACGUUCCCGGGCCUU